Scylla paramamosain (green mud crab) is the source of this 1844-nucleotide long non-coding RNA. RefSeq lists it as uncharacterized. NCBI's taxonomy places the organism in Eukaryota, Metazoa, Arthropoda, Malacostraca, Decapoda, Portunidae. The record is from RefSeq and is a predicted model, not a curated record. The transcript is spliced from 4 exons.
UUUCAUGUGUAUUUCCCGUGCUAUGGCUUCUGUGAUCUCCGAGAAAUCAAAUGUUAAAUAGAGAAAGAGGAUCUUAUGGCAUCAAUAUAGAGCAUAAUGACGGAGAGGAAACCAAGAGGCACAAAAAGGGUCAUGAGUUCAUUAUCAUACCAUAUCAAACGGAAAGUUUUGUCUUCCUCAUCAGUUUUUUCCUGCCUCGCCAGUUUUUCAUUUAAUCCAUUCAUAUACAUGCCAUGCUAUAUACAGUGGUAAGCAUAGCUCCUUGCGGGGCCUCCACACACAAGAAAUAUGUUCUGUAUCUGACAUGCAAGAUGGACGGAAAUGUUCGUCGCGCAUCUUGAGGCGGCGACGUUGUUGGGUCCUGGAGGAAGAGCUAAGGCAGGAAUGAAAAAGUUAUCAGUCCACAAGAAGAAUCUAAAGACGUAGUACUGCGGACGUGUGGCAUGAUAAUGUUUACUCAAAUAAAAAGUCAUAAAAUUUAGGCAGGUACCAACAAGUAGAGUGUGCCAGGGCGGCUCCUCUGUGCCCAGGUGUCUACUGCCUCCUCCUACAAACCCACCACAAGUUGGAUGGCCCUCGCCUAACUUGGGGCCGCCACACACAGUACCUGGUGACCUCAUGCCUCAAGAGCCUUGACCUCAUGAAGCCCCUUGCAGAGCUCUGACAUCCUGAGGUGGAAUCACAGGCAUGACAGAAAAGCACUGGAGAGGCAAAGAACUGCAGACUGCCUGAGUGAUGGAUGUGUGAUGUGGGCAGCAGGAAGGGCAGGUGGAAGUGGUGUCCAGAACCCUAAGUUUGGUGUGCGGCAGGUCACAGUGUGGGCGGGGCAGAGGGAAGCCCUCUAUGGUCUCCCGUAUGUGUGCGAGACAAUAGCAUGUGGCAUCUGUUGCAUGUUCUGAAGUUGCUCCAGCCUCUCUGUGUGGACAUGGCAUAUGGCAGUGAGCAUAGCUGGGAGGAGUGGAGUGAGCAUGGCUGAGAGGAUUUGAAGUGAGUCUGGCUGGGAGGAUUGGAGGCAAGCAUGGAUGGAGAAGAGGGUAAGACCAACACGGGUUGUUGCAGUGGCUCCCAAGCUGGGCAGUGCUCCAGUUUGUUGGCCAUUUUGUUUUACCUAAGGGAGGGAGUUGGACAACCCUUUGCUUGAGUUUCAUGUAAAACUUGAUAAUUACAUUGAUUGCUUUUGAUCAAUCUGCAGAAAAUUGUACAAUUAAGAGUUCACAAUUAUGGUUAUUCAGCUAUUCUGAUUAUUAUAUGAAAUUAUGAAUACGCUUGUAAGAGAGAAUUUACUUGCAGUGAGAAAUUUUAUUUUCCUGAACAAAAGAACCAGAUAAAGUAAUGAGACAGAAAGGCUUGUUGGUGUACACAAGGCAGCUGCUUACCACUCAAAGCGUAUCAUCUACCAUCUUCAUUCAUUAAUUUAAUCCAGCCUCCUGAAGCAAUGCAAUAUCUUCAUCUGCUGUCAAGUUUGUUCCUCAUAUUCACAGCCCUAUUUGUAAACCAGAAUUUUGCCUCUCCUAUCUUAAAUGUAACUUGUUCCUUGAUUAAAAGAAGCUGAUAUAUUUGUCCCUUUGAUGAAGCCCUUCUUGCACCUUCUGUUGUGAGGCAAGCCUCUCACGUCUUGUUAUAAAGGCAAAAAAUCUAUAUAGACAAAGUUGUGAAUGACAAGUAAUGUCUUUUACCUCCCCUUGCAUUAAAGACCUGGUGGACAAGAAACAGUGCUGAGCUUGGCACCAGUUGUUUUUGUGACAGUGAAGCGUGAGCUCUGCAUUGCAUAGCUAUUGUUCUGUCUCAAAUAAAUUACUGUACUUACAGCUUGAAACAUGACUUAUUAACCUUUUGUGUGUAAA